RNAcentral lists this ribosomal RNA (72 nucleotides) under Schmidingerella taraikaensis. RNAcentral's name for it is "partial Eukaryotic large subunit ribosomal RNA". Lineage: Eukaryota; Ciliophora; Spirotrichea; Tintinnida; Rhabdonellidae. The record is from RNAcentral.
GCACAAAUGAAAUACCACCACUCGGAACGUUGCUUCACUUAUCGAAUGAAGAGACCAAUGGUUUGCGGGAUU